Molecule: ribosomal RNA, 467 nt
Filed under: uncultured Alphaproteobacteria bacterium
Lineage: Bacteria; Pseudomonadati; Pseudomonadota; Alphaproteobacteria
Description: bacterial SSU rRNA
Rfam family: Bacterial small subunit ribosomal RNA
Source: RNAcentral
GAGUUUGAUCCUGGCUCAGAACGAACGCUGGCGGCAGGCUUAACACAUGCAAGUCGAGCGCCCCGCAAGGGGAGCGGCAGACGGGUGAGUAACGCGUGGGAAUGUACCCUUUGCUACGGAAUAGCUCCGGGAAACUGGAAUUAAUACCGUAUGUGCCCUUCGGGGGAAAGAUUUAUCGGCAAAGGAUCAGCCCGCGUUGGAUUAGCUAGUUGGUGGGGUAAAGGCCUACCAAGGCGACGAUCCAUAGCUGGUCUGAGAGGAUGAUCAGCCACAUUGGGACUGAGACACGGCCCAAACUCCUACGGGAGGCAGCAGUGGGGAAUAUUGGACAAUGGGCGCAAGCCUGAUCCAGCCAUGCCGCGUGAGUGAUGAAGGCCUUAGGGUUGUAAAGCUCUUUCAACGGUGAAGAUAAUGACGGUAGCCGUAGAAGAAGCCCCGGCUAACUUCGUGCCAGCCGCCGCCGUAAG